CAAGGGCAUAUUGGUCGGCCCAAUGCUAUUUUUAUUACACUGGUAUAUACAACACUGGUAUACAGACGAUUACACAAACAAUCAAUAGAGAAACCAACCAUCACACAUGAUUAAAAGUCUUUUAUUAAUCUGUAGACGCUAGACAGCGCCUCUGACUCAGAGCUUUAUGUUCCCCUCAUUAAGCAUAUGAAAAAUUCCCUCCCUCCGUACAGCAGCUAGUAAGCAUGGGAAGAUUUGAAUGUAAUGAUAUGCAAUGCACUCUGAGAAUGAAAAUAGUAACCAGUAUCCUAGGUCUUAUAGAAAUAUAUAGUAAGCUUGGGAAGAUUCCGAAGAUCACAGGAUGUAAUGCAAAGUGAGAAGGAAAAUAGUAUCCCAGCACGGGAAGAAAUACGUGACAAGAAAAAAUGCUAGUAUACAAAUACAAGCAUUUGCAGAGCCAGAAGAGCAAUCAAAUACAACAAUAUUUUUCCCCCAGCAAUACUCCUCGACAAUGAGUAGCAUGCUUUAACCUACAGUCCUACACUAUCAAAUUCAUGGCUACAAGGAGUCAUGGCUCUGCUUGGACACUAAGCUGGUCAUGGUCAGACAAAAGAAUGUUUGCAGGAAGAAAACAAAUCUCCGUCCUAGUCAAGCACCAAGGAUUGUUCUCUUGGAGUUGAUAAAUUACAUACACAGCUAGAUUAUAUACAGAAUUGUACACUCGAGGAGCAUAAGCCACACCCAAUUUAUGACCAUUUAAUGAAGCAUACAUUUGGAUCAAAAUACUUCAUGCUAAAUUGGAAAUGCCCAUCAAAUGUCAAGUGUUGAAACUAAUGGCAUCUCUACACAGCGCUGUAUUGUACUGCACUUAUCCGGUUCCUGCCUCGACCUCUUCGUGCAUUAGUAAUGCUAGAAAUCAAGGAACCAUAUAGAUUUAAGAGGGCGCUAUGUCCCAUUAACUUCAAGCCCAAGUUCUUAACCAAAUAUGACAACUUAUCCUCAUUACCCCCUGUCAUCAACUGUAGCUCAUGUACUUGUUGACAAGAUAACACUACAUAAAGCUGCAAUGGUAGAUGCAAAGGAUUUUGGAAGCUCUCCUCUAAUUCCUUCUUCAGAUAAUCUCCGCAAUUAUCAAAAGUAAUUCUCAUAAUACCCAUUGAAUUUGGGGCAUGUAUCAAAGGAUUAGAUAUAAAUGACAAAUUUCCAAAUGCUAGGUCAGGUCUCCUGAAUAGAUCUACCAAUGUAUCAUUGCUUAGUCCAGCGUUCCUCUGCACAGACUUCCUUGAAUUAUUUUGCCAACUUCUACUAAUUCUUAAAAUGCGAGAAGCUUCUCUUAAACCACUCAAGAAGGCACCAUGCAUUGUGGCUGGAUAUUGCCUAGUUGUUGCCUCACCAGCAAAAAACAGCCGACCACCAACACUUUCUGCAAGUAAAUCAUAGUCACUGCCAGAUGACUGUACCCUAACAUGAGAAUAUGAACCAUAACUAAAGGGAUCACUGCCCCAUCUCGUACAAAUUGUUUGUAUGGGGUCAGGAACAUCAACGCCUUUUGGAUUGUAUAUACCUCUAAGAACUCUUAAAACACGGUGGAGCAGAGUAGAUGGAUCCGUAUAUUCAAAUAUUUGUGCUGCUUCUCCAGCAACCAAUGCAAUAAGUACUGGACCUCCAGAAACAGUAUGGUAACCAUAGAACAGAAAAAACUCUCCACGCUUACUGCUAUUCUCACUGAGACAUCCAAAUGUAUCCAAGUCCUCCCCCCAAAAAACAUGGGGGAAAACCAUUGCCACUUUAUUAAGCAGUCCAAAACCCAAUCUAUCAAUUGCUGCAAGCUUUCUUCCAGGUAACUCUGGUUCAAAUUUGAUGGUUCUUUUCUUCAAGACUCCAAGAGGCACAGUACAUAGGACCAUAUCUGCUUGAAACACUUGUUCACCAGCAAUAACCAUAACACCUUCACUUCCAUAUCUAACAGUAUUCACAGCCUUCCCGUAGAAUAUAGGAACCCCUUCACAUAGUUCUUUUAUCAAUCUCCAGUUCCCUCCAGCUAGAAAGCAGUGGUCCCCACCCAUUUCAUAAGGAUCAUCCUGAUCCCAAUAUGUAGCUGAUAGAUUUGAGAGACAUCCUGCAUUUGCAUAUUCCAAGUUAGCAAGAUGCCAAUCAAGCAACUGCCUCUCUUCUGUACUUCUAGCCACAGCAUACAACUUCCUGAGUCUCUCCAAAACUGAACCCAGAGAAACAUCAUUUGCAAAUCCACCCAUUAUUUUUCUAAGUUCCAUUACUUUGUCGAGCAACUUAUUGAAGAUGAAUUCAAUCCUAUAAUCAACUUCCUUAUCAACAGGUGCCCCAUCUGGUCUGUACAAAGGGCAGUUAUCUCGCACCUUAUGGAGUGGAAUAGAAAGUUGCCUAGCAAGAACUCCCAAAGGAUUAGCAUGUAUACCAGUAAUAACACUGCCUCCAAGAUCCACAGCAGCAAAUUGGUCUUUCCUACCCAUUUUUUGAGUAUAAACUCUCCCUCCAGGACGAUUCCUACCUUCUAAAACAACCACCUUAAAACCAAAGGACAUGAGUUGUCUUGCUGAUGAUAAACCAGCAAGUCCCGCACCAACAAUUAUCACAGACCCUUCAUUAAUCAAUUCUGGCAUAGGGGACAUAAGUGAUGAAAAAACUCCAAAAUUAAUAUACCCAUUGUACAAAAGAAAAUCAUAAGCAGAAGAUACCAAAUUCUCAUAUUCAUUGCUCACAGUUUCUUUAAUCUGUCCCUUUGAUAGCCACACCUUCACAUUACUUCUCCACCUUGCAAGGAUAUGAUUCCUCACAACAAUAUAAUCAUUCUGCUCUUUGCCACCCAAUUGUCUUACCACCCCAGCUUGAAUCUCCUCCUCAAGUAAUGCAUCAAUUGGGAACCCCAGAGAUAUUGCUAUCAUUGCCUCAGUUUCAGUCUCCUUUUCCAAAUCCUCCCUUGUUCGAUUCCUUUUCUUUAAAGAACCACCCAAUUGAUUCUCUAUCAAUUCAUCCAUCAAAUUCUCGUCAUAAUUCCGCAAAACUGCUUUCUUCCUCAACGACCUCUUUGUAAUCAGCCCUUCCUGGCGUGGGGUUUCCAUAGUCCAAUGAACGACAAUCCAACUUUUCAACUCAAACUCAAAACAUCCUCAAGCUCAAAACAUCCUCAAGAACAGAACAAUACAUUGCCCUUCAAUAUUAAUCACUGAUCAACUCCAAGCAAAAUAGCAUCAAGUAAAUAUUUCUUAUGCAGAAAUUUCAUGAAAAAACAAUCAAGAACACAACUUGGCAUGUCUCUUUAAGUACUAUCAUAUCAACUAAAACCAAACUGCAACAGAAUGGGUAUAUCUCAACUAUCAACUCCGCAACACACCCAUCCAAAAAACUACAGUAGUCGUCUUGAAUUCAUCUCCAAUUUUACAAGAAAAAUAUAAAGUUACUCAGCACAUACAAAGAGAUUCCAGAUUCAUUCAAAACCCAUUUCUCUUUCAACUGCAAUACUAUCCUGAAACACCAAACUUGUAGCCACCCUGUUUCCUCUACAAAGUGAUGCCCGCCGGCAACUUGAAACCCCACUAGCUGAAUGGCCAUAAACACUAAAAACAGGAAAAACCUGGAAAUGAUAAAUAUCUAAGAAACAAUAUAAUUUGAGCUAAAAUGAGUGAUUAAGAGGAGAAGGAAAGAAGUGAAAGUAGAUAGUGGCUACGAGCUUCACGAGAACGCUGUAGGUGAUUGAACCAACAGCAAGGGGAGUGAAAACAAAGAUAAAGGGAGAGAAUAGGAGAGAAGUAGCUUGGUGUCACUGCCGUCAUUGAUGUGGCCGCGGAGAAAAGGAUCGAAUGGUUUGCUAUGAAAGUCGGGGAGAAUUUGUGUGGGUCUGUAAUGAAGUAACAAAUAUAAGGAUAUGGGCCUACGAGAUGGGAAGAGGAUUUUGAUUUGAGCAAGUGGGUUUGACUAGUGUGUUUAGGAUUUUGAUUUGAGUAAUGCAGGAGAUGCCAGCGUAAAUG
Molecule: unclassified non-coding RNA, 3983 nt
Filed under: Hevea brasiliensis (rubber tree)
Lineage: Eukaryota; Viridiplantae; Streptophyta; Magnoliopsida; Malpighiales; Euphorbiaceae
Source: RNAcentral